Molecule: ribosomal RNA, 492 nt
Filed under: uncultured bacterium
Lineage: Bacteria
Description: partial 16S ribosomal RNA
Rfam family: Bacterial small subunit ribosomal RNA
Source: RNAcentral
AGUGAACGCUGGCGGUAGGCCUAACACAUGCAAGUCGAACGGCAGCACAGUAAGAGUUCGCUCUUACGGGUGGCGAGUGGCGGACGGGUGAGGAAUACAUCGGAAUCUACUUUUUCGUGGGGGAUAACGUAGGGAAACUUCCGCUAAUACCGCAUAUGACCUACGGGUGAAAGCAGGGGAUCUUCGGACCUUGCGCGAUUGAAUGAGCCGAUGUCGGAUUAGCUAGUUGGCGGGGUAAAGGCCCACCAAGGCGACGAUCCGUAGCUGGUCUGAGAGGAUGAUCAGCCACACUGGAACUGAGACACGGUCCAGACUCCUACGGGAGGCAGCAGUGGGGAAUAUUGGACAAUGGGCGCAAGCCUGAUCCAGCCAUACCGCGUGGGUGAAGAAGGCCUUCGGGUUGUAAAGCCCUUUUGUUGGGAAAGAAAAGCAGCAGGUUAAUACCCCGCUGUUCUGACGGUACCCAAAGAAUAAGCACCGGCUAACUUCGUG